AGUAGUUUGAUCCGUGGCUACGAGGACGACGCUGGCGGCGUGCUUAACACAUGCAAGUCGAACGGAAAGGCCUCUUUCGGGGGGUACUCGAGUGGCGAACGGGUGAGUAACACGUGAGUAACCUGCCCUUGACUUUGGGAUAACUUCAGGAAACUGGGGCUAAUACCGGAUAGGAGCUCCUGCUGCAUGGUGGGGGUUGGAAAGUUUCGGCGGUUGGGGAUGGACUCGCGGCUUAUCAGCUUGUUGGUGGGGUAGUGGCUUACCAAGGCUUUGACGGGUAGCCGGCCUGAGAGGGUGACCGGCCACAUUGGGACUGAGAUACGGCCCAGACUCCUACGGGAGGCAGCAGUGGGGAAUAUUGCACAAUGGGUGGAAGCCUGAUGCAGCAACGCCGUGUGCGGGAUGACGGCCUUCGGGUUGUAAACCGCUUUCGCCCAUGACGAAGCUUUGUGUGACGGUAGUGGGUAAAGAAGCACCGGCUAACUACGUG
Molecule: ribosomal RNA, 490 nt
Filed under: uncultured Propionibacterium sp.
Lineage: Bacteria; Bacillati; Actinomycetota; Actinomycetes; Propionibacteriales; Propionibacteriaceae
Description: bacterial SSU rRNA
Rfam family: Bacterial small subunit ribosomal RNA
Source: RNAcentral